This 332-nucleotide unclassified non-coding RNA is filed under the name Hevea brasiliensis (rubber tree). Lineage: Eukaryota; Viridiplantae; Streptophyta; Magnoliopsida; Malpighiales; Euphorbiaceae. The record is from RNAcentral.
UAAUCCUUCCAUUCAAGAGCUUUCUCUGCAUCAGGACUAAAGCUGGUUCCAAACCUGACGCUGUUGGUAGAGGAAAGCUCCUUGGAAUACUUCCUCUUCUCCUCUGCUGGUAACCCAAAGAAACGAUGGGUUGCAUCUUUAACUCCAUCGAGUACCUCAAGUGGCACCCCAUGGUUAACCAGCUGAAAGAAACCAAAUUUCUCAGCAGCUUCGCAGACUGAUUCAGCGACUUUAGGAUCGUUAUCCCAGUUAGACAGGUCAAUGACGGGAAUGGAUUCUUGUGGGAUGAUAUUGAUCAAUGCUUCUUGGGGUUGAAUAUAUUGGGAAGGAAG